AUCCAGUUGAUGAGUCCCAAACAGGACGAAACGCGUGUCUUAGAU
This is a non-coding RNA of Schistosoma haematobium, 45 nucleotides long. The record is from Rfam. NCBI's taxonomy places the organism in Eukaryota, Metazoa, Platyhelminthes, Trematoda, Strigeidida, Schistosomatidae.